This 1068-nucleotide ribosomal RNA is filed under the name Triticum aestivum (bread wheat). RNAcentral describes it as "partial small subunit ribosomal RNA". The record is from RNAcentral. Lineage: Eukaryota; Viridiplantae; Streptophyta; Magnoliopsida; Poales; Poaceae.
AUGGGGAAAGGCCGGGCACCGUGCUGCGCCAAGGUGGGGCUCAACAGGGGCUCCUGGACGCCGGAGGAGGACAUGCGCCUCAUCGCCUACAUUCAGCAGUACGGCCACGCCAACUGGCGUGCCCUGCCCAAGCAAGCAGGUUUGCUCCGGUGCGGCAAGAGCUGCCGGCUCCGGUGGAUCAACUACCUCCGUCCCGACCUCAAGCGCGGCAACUUCACCGUCGAGGAGGAGGAGACCCUCAUCAAGCUGCACAACAUGCUCGGCAACAAAUGGUCCAAGAUCGCGGCGUGCCUGCCGGGGAGGACCGACAACGAGAUCAAGAACGUCUGGAACACGCACCUCAAAAAGCGGGUGGCCGCGAGCGCCGGGGAGCAGAAGAAGGGCGGGGCCAAGAGCAAGAAGAAAACCACCUGCGUGGACGUGCCGGUGCCUUCUCCGUCUCCAUCCUCUUCCACCACCACCACUACGACGACAACCAACUGCUCCAGCGGCGAGUCUGGCGAGCAGAGCAACACCAUCAAGGAGUUGGAAUUUGAGAUGGACAAGAUCGAAAUCCCCAUGCUGGACCUCGGCUUCGACCUUGACAUGCUGCUGAACGCCGUCCCCGACACGCACUUCCCGGCCAUCUCGUCGGCGUCGACCUCGCCGUGCUCGUCCGCGUCCCCGCCCUGCGUGGUGGACGACCAAGUGCUGCUCGAUCUGCCUGAGAUCGACAUCAUGCCCGAGCUGUGGAGCAUCAUGGACGGCGAAGGCGGCGUCGGCGCGUGCGCAGAAACGGCGCAGGCGCCGUGGAGCAAUGCGGCGCUGUGCCAGGGCAACGGAACAGAGGCGAGCGCCGCAACGGCCAACGAAGACGACGACGGAAAGGAGUGGUGGUUGGAAGAUUUGGAAAAGGACCUGGGCCUGUGGGGGCCCAUCGAAGACUACCAGCUCCAACAACCGGACCCACAAGGUCGCGUGGACCCGUUCUCAGCCAGCGUGGACGACUCCGCGUCAUGCUACUUCCCCGCACACACUGUCCGGCAUUUUUUCUCAAGAGUACGCCAAGGGGGUACCAUACUUUUAUAG